AACUUGGGAGGGGAGAACGCAUCCGACUGUUAAUCGGAUGGUCGCUGGUUCGAAUCCAGCCCGGGGAGCCA
This 71-nucleotide transfer RNA is filed under the name Bradyrhizobium japonicum. RNAcentral describes it as "tRNA-Asn". The stretch from base 3 to 65 matches the Rfam family "tRNA". Rfam says of the family: Transfer RNA (tRNA) molecules are approximately 80 nucleotides in length. Their secondary structure includes four short double-helical elements and three loops (D, anti-codon, and T loops). Further hydrogen bonds mediate the characteristic L-shaped molecular structure. tRNAs have two regions of fundamental functional importance: the anti-codon, which is responsible for specific mRNA codon recognition, and the 3' end, to which the tRNAs corresponding amino acid is attached (by aminoacyl-tRNA synthetases). tRNAs cope with the degeneracy of the genetic code in two manners: having more than one tRNA (with a specific anti-codon) for a particular amino acid; and 'wobble' base-pairing, i.e. permitting non-standard base-pairing at the 3rd anti-codon position. The record is from RNAcentral. Lineage: Bacteria; Pseudomonadati; Pseudomonadota; Alphaproteobacteria; Hyphomicrobiales; Nitrobacteraceae.